GGGAGAGCGAAGGCUGCAGCGCGCCCGGCAGCCGGGAUGCAGCGGCGCCGCCCAAGCCUGGGGCGCAGGGGUCGGGGCACACGGGGAUAGGCCCGACGCGGGGCCGAAGGAAGGGUGGUCUUUCCCGCAGAGUUGCCGCUGGAGGACCGAAAGUUUUGCAGGCAGCCCUUGCUUCCAGCUUGUCGCUCUCUCCCCGCGUCCCUGUCGCCCAACGCGAGGCGCCCCCGCUGGGGUCCCGACGGCUUGGUGGGGAGGAGCCGUGAGGGGUUGCGCCCCCCACCCCCACCCGAGCCAGGGAAGGGACCCUGGUGACCUCGCCUCCCAGCCCUCACCCCCGUCACCCCUUUCUUCUCUUUCCUGGAGGACUUUGGACCAUGGAGAUUCUGCAGUUGUUGCUCUAGGAGCUGAAACCAGUGGGUAGAUGUCGUUCUGAAACGCAGUCAACCAAUAUUGCCUGUCAUGGAACAGCUGUGCCCUCCUGUCAGGAGGGAAAGAUGAGUGAGACCCAUCCUCACCCUCACAGAGAUGCAGUCUGGUGGUCUCUGGAAGAAGGAAGUUGUGAAACUUACCGAUUCCUUGGGAAAACAGGCAGCAGAGUCUGUCAAGUGGAGGUUACUACACAGGACCUUGAAGAGAGUCUGACAGCCCAAAUAUUAUUUCCUUCUAUUUGGGAUGAUUUUACUCCACAGUACGGUAAAUUGUGGGCUAGAAUCUAAAAGUGAUUUAGCAUCUCUACAAAAGAAGACUUCACAGGCAUUGCCACAUUUAAUUGAUAACAGAGUAUGUCUACAUUGUUGCAGUUAGUUAUGGAGUAUAAUUGUAGAGUUGCUUUACUCUAAGCCUUCUCCAGUCUCUCCAUUGACUAUAGACAUAAUAAUACUGACUUGUUGAAACUAUAACCCAUCUAUGACUGUGUUGGAUAACAUGACUGUCAAUCAAAUUGCAUAACUGAGAGGCAGAGAAUAAAGAAAGCAUCGCUCAUCAAACUACUAGACAUUUACACUUGACUUUGGAUGAAAAUUGAGAUGGAGUCUUGUUCUGUUGCCCAGGCUCACUGCAACCUCCGCUUCCUGGGUUCAAGCUGUUCCCCUGCCUCAGCCUCCCAAGUAGCUGGGACUACAAGUGCCUGCCACCACGUCUGGCUAAUUUUUUAUUUUUUAUUUUUUUGUAAUUUUAGUAGAGACAGGGUUUCACCAUGUUGGCCAGGCUAGCCUCUAACUCCUGACCCCAGGUAAUCCACCUACCUCAGCCUCCCAAAGUGCUGGGAUUACAGGUUUGAGCCACAGUGCCCAGCCUAUGAUUAUUUCUUUAGGAUGCUUUUCUGUAAAUGGAAUUGCCAAGUCAAAGUGGAUGCACAUUUACAAUUUUGAAAUUGCCAAACUUUGCCAGGGUGUAUGAGAAUUCCCAUUUCCUCAUGGCCUCAUAGGUGCUGUAUGGAUGAUUCUUUUUCAUCUUUCAGUCUGAGGAGAGAAUUUCAUCUCCAGCUUGUUUCAGUUGUAUCUCUGCUUAUUGAUGAUUUGUAUUUCAUUUUUUUGUAAAUUGCCUACCUUUCUUUUAGAGUGUUCACCUUUCUCUUAAUGAAUUGUGAAAGCUCUUUAUAUUU
RNAcentral lists this long non-coding RNA (1603 nucleotides) under Homo sapiens (human). Its description in RNAcentral is "non-protein coding lnc-CDHR3-1:3". The record is from RNAcentral. Lineage: Eukaryota; Metazoa; Chordata; Mammalia; Primates; Hominidae.